Molecule: ribosomal RNA, 264 nt
Filed under: Klebsiella quasipneumoniae
Lineage: Bacteria; Pseudomonadati; Pseudomonadota; Gammaproteobacteria; Enterobacterales; Enterobacteriaceae
Description: partial 23S ribosomal RNA
Rfam family: Bacterial large subunit ribosomal RNA
Source: RNAcentral
CUUGGUGUUACUGCGAAGGGGGGACGGAGAAGGCUAUGUUAGCCGGGCGACGGUUGUCCCGGUUUAAGCAUGUAGGCUGAUUAUCCAGGCAAAUCCGGAUAAUCAAGGCUGAGGUGUGAUGACGAGGCACUACGGUGCUGAAGUAACAAAUGCCCUGCUUCCAGGAAAAGCCUCUAAGCAUCAGGUAACAUCAAAUCGUACCCCAAACCGACACAGGUGGUCAGGUAGAGAAUACCAAGGCGCUUGAGAGAACUCGGGUGAAGG